GACGAACCGUGCGAACGUUGUUCGGAUUCACUGGGCUUAAAGGGCGCGUAGGCGGACUCGCCAGUCUGUGGUGAAAGCCCCCAGCUCAACUGGGGAAGUGCCGUGGAUACUGCGAGUCUGGAGGAGGGUAGGGGCAUCUGGAACGCUGGGUGGAGCGGUGAAAUGCGUUGAUAUCCAGCGGAACUCCGGUGGCGAAGGCGAGGUGCUGGACCCUUUCUGACGCUGAGUGCGCGAAAGCCAGGGGAGCAAACGGG
RNAcentral lists this ribosomal RNA (254 nucleotides) under uncultured bacterium. RNAcentral describes it as "partial 16S ribosomal RNA". It matches the Rfam family "Bacterial small subunit ribosomal RNA", at positions 524 to 776 of the family's 1533-position model. The record is from RNAcentral.